RNAcentral lists this long non-coding RNA (315 nucleotides) under Capra hircus (goat). RNAcentral describes it as "lncRNA (ENSCHIG00000001435.1)". The record is from RNAcentral. Lineage: Eukaryota; Metazoa; Chordata; Mammalia; Artiodactyla; Bovidae.
GUUUCCUCACAGUCCACACCUGCCCGCCUGCCCAGCGCCUGCACCUUAGCAAGAUGCCGAGGACGCGUUUUAGUGAAAUGAAGGUGGCAUUCAUAAGUUUUUGGUGACAUUCUUGGUUUCAUGAGGAGGAUAAACUAUAUAUGGAGUAAAACUUCACAUGGAGAGAUGUCUGGAUUUUUGGUAAUUCCCCCCCGCCUCUGCAGGUCUGUAGCCACUAGUGGGUUGUCUUACUUGAAGCGUGUGCCUGGGUUGGCUUUCCUGUCUAUCAUCUGCACAACUCUUUUUCUGGCUUCCAUCCAAGACAGAAGCAAUUGA